This 163-nucleotide ribosomal RNA is filed under the name Vanrija sp. RNAcentral describes it as "partial large subunit ribosomal RNA". It matches the Rfam family "Eukaryotic large subunit ribosomal RNA", at positions 99 to 261 of the family's 3401-position model. Lineage: Eukaryota; Fungi; Basidiomycota; Tremellomycetes; Trichosporonales; Trichosporonaceae. The record is from RNAcentral.
CGGCAACAGCUCAAAUUUGAAAUCUGGCUCUCGGGCCCGAGUUGUAAUCUAUAGAAGUGUUUUCCGUGCCGGACCAUGUCCAAGUCCCUUGGAACAGGGUAUCAAAGAGGGUGACAAUCCCGUACUUGACAUGACCACCGGUGCUCUGUGAUACACUUUCUAC